AUGGGGACAUCGGGGACCCCAUGGAGAACUUUGGGGACCCCAGGGGGGACAUUGGGGACCCUACAGAGAACCCUUGGAGAACGUUGGGGACCCCAAAAAGAACCCCAUGGGGACCCCAGGGACAGGGGAGGGUGGGAGGGGGCACCCAUGGGUGCUGAGGGGACACCGAGGGGACCUGGGGACACCCAAGGGACAGCGAGGAGGGACUCAAGGGUGCCUGGGGACACCCAAGGGUGCUUGGGGACACCCAAGGGUGCCUGGGGAACUGCCCAAGGGGACACCAAGGGGACCUGGGGACACCCAAGGGACAUCGAGGAGGGACCUAAGGGUGCCUGGGGACACCCAAGGGUGCCUGGGGACACCAAGGAACCACCCAAGGGGACACCAAGGAGGGACCCAAGGGUGCCUGGGGACACCCAAGGGUGCUUAGGGACACAGAGGAACCGCCCAAGGGGACACCAAGGACAUCAAGGAGGGACCCAGGGGACACCGAGGGGACACCCAAGGGACCUGUGGCCACCCAAGGGGGACACAGGAGCACCCAAGGGACCUGGGGCCACCAAGGAGGGACCUGGGGGACAUCAAGGAAGCACCCAAGGGAGCUGGGGACACCCAAGGGACACCCAAAGGGGACAGGGGCCACCCAAGGGACACCAAGGAAGCACCCAAGGGACACCCAAGGGACACCAAGGAGGGACCCAGGGGACACCCAAGGGACACGCAAAGGGGACAGGGGGCACCCAAGGGACACCCAAGGGGACUUGGGGGCACCCAAGGGACACCAAGGAACCACCCAAGGGGAUGUGGGGCCACCCAAAGGAGACAGGGGGCACCCAAGGGCGACGGGGAGCACCCAAGGGACACCCAAAGGGACUUGGGGACACCCAAGGGCCACCAAGGGACCACCCACAGAGGACAGGGGACACCCAAGGGACCUGAGGACACCCAAGGGGGACGGGGAGCACCCAAGGGCCACCCAAAGGGGACAGGGGGCACCCAAGGGUGAUGGGGGGCACCCAAGGGACACCCAAGGGGACACCCAAGGGACACCCAAGGGUGACGGGGGACACCCAAGGGGACACCCAAAGGGGACGGGGAGCACCCAAGGGACACCAAGGGACCACCCAAAGGGGACAGGGGCCACCCAAGGGACCUGGGGCCACCCAAGGGUGCGGGGCCACCCACCGGGUGUCCGAGCGCUGCGGGAGCCGGCGCCGAAAUGGCAGCGGGGAGGGGACGGGGAGGGGACAGGGGGACACGCCCGGGGGGGGGAGGGGACAGGGGAGGGGACACCCGGGGGCCACCCCCGCACCCAAGGGCGCUUCAAGGGCACCCCGCCCCCCGCCGGGCCCCGAAAUCUCCCUUUUUUCCCCCAAAAUCCGCAGGGUGCGCCCCUAAUCUGCGCUCUUUGCCCCCAAGAUUGUCUCCUCGAUACCAAAACCUCCUGUUUUUACCCCAAAUCUGCCUCCUUUUCGCCCCUAAUUGUCACUUUUCGCCCCCAAAACCAACCCCCCGCACCCAAAACCUGCGUUUUUUGCCCCAAAAAGGCGUCCCCGCACCCAAAAUCUGCGCUUUUGCCUCCAAUCUGCCCCCUUUUGCCCCAAAAUCGCACUUUUCGCCCUCACCGCCUACUUUUUUGCCCAAAAUUUGGGUUUUUCACAUUUAAACCACCUUCUUUUUGCCCAAAAUCUGCGUUUCUCGCCCCAAAUCUGCCCCUUUAACCCCAAAUCUGCGCGUUUUUGUCUCAGAUCUGCGCCCACACCCAAAAUCUGCGCUUUUCUCCCCGAAACCACCUCCUUUUGCCCUAAACCUGCCUUUUCCCCCUCAAAUCACCCCCUUUAACCAAAAACCCCGUAUUUCACCCCAAAUCCGUGUCUCUCCCUCUGUAAUCUCCCCCCACACCCAAAAUUUGGCCUUUUUGCCCCAAAAUCUUGGCUUUCCACCCCAACCCUUUCCCGCACCCCAAAUCUCCCCGCUUCACCCCAAAUCCCUCCCCGCACCCCAAACCUUCCCCUUUCGGCCCCAAAUUCCUCAUUUUUCCACCCAAAUCUCCACCUCCACCCCAACCCCCCUAAAAUCUGCUCUUUUCACCCCAAAACCUCACACCCCGCUUCCCAACCCCUUCCCCCCCCAAUUCCCCUCCUUUUCCCCCCAAACCUGACUCCUCCACCCCCAAACCCCCUGUUUUUCACCCCAAACCCCUCCUCGCCCCCAAAACGGCCGUUUUUCACCCCAAAACCUCUCCCUUCGCCCCAAAGCCUCAAAUUCCCCCCUCCCGCCCCCAAAAUCCCCACUUUUCUCCCCAAACCUCUCCCUCACCCCCCCACCACCCCCUCACCCCCAACUUCGCCCCCAAAUCCGCCCUUUUUGCCCCCAAAACCUCCUCCCCCCCCCCCCCCCUCCCCCCACCUGGGCUCGGGGAGCGGCCGGACGCGCGGGAACGAGGGGGCGGGGCCUGCCGCGCGGUGACGUCACGGGUGGGGGAGGACCGGGAAGGCGCGCUCUUAAAGGGGCAACGGCGCGCUGAGUCACGGGGGGGGGCCCACCGGGUCAUUUUGGGGCGGGGG
This 2567-nucleotide long non-coding RNA is filed under the name Anas platyrhynchos (mallard). RNAcentral describes it as "lncRNA (ENSAPLG00020009477.1)". Lineage: Eukaryota; Metazoa; Chordata; Aves; Anseriformes; Anatidae. The record is from RNAcentral.